Molecule: long non-coding RNA, 3143 nt
Filed under: Lynx pardinus (Iberian lynx)
Lineage: Eukaryota; Metazoa; Chordata; Mammalia; Carnivora; Felidae
Source: RNAcentral
CCUGAGGGGGCGCAGGCUAUAGAAACCCUGCAUUGUCUGCUAUAAUUUAAUCAUCGUGGGCUGCAGAAUUUCUUUGCAUAAAUUACAACCACAAUGAUAGCAUCACUUUCACAAAAGGUGGCCUCCAAUCGAUUCAACCCUCCGAGAGAUGGCCGGGCUUUCGCCGCAGGGAAAGGAUUCACUGCCGUCUACAGGGCUGGAGAUCAUCGCUGGGGCUCUGGUGGUAGUCGGGGCGCACCUGGGGCAGAUUGCUGAUUCAGCUGAUGUGCCUUUUCCUCUCGGUGUGCGCUAACCACUUGGUUUUUAUUUUUCUAGGAAUAAGGGGGGAUUGGGAAUGGGCCCCGCCCCCACGUCUGGAGGAGGCAUGUGCCUCGGGUGAACCCCCGAAGGACAACAAGGUAGAGGAAAUGUUUUCCUGACGAUGCCUUCACUGGCCUAUUUUGCCGCUUCCUCUCCUUUCCCCCACCCCUCGGGCAAAGGUGAUUUUUAUAUUUCCUACGUUUUUAACGCUCUCGGGUCUUCUCGUACCUGGAAAAGCACAGAAUCUAUGCUGCUCCUGCCUCCCUUUCCCCAGCCCGAGCCCCCGAGAAGACAGGACCCCGGGAGCACGUUUUGUAAGCCUCUCUAUUGAAGCGAGGCCUUUAGGCAGCCGUGCGUGGCUGCAUUGUGGUGGUCCCCAAGUGCUCCGGACAAUCCCUUUGAAAGAAUAGGGUCGAGAAGAUUCUCAGGACAGAGGCAGCUAAUUUCCAUCCUUGAGGCUUUAUCUCACAAAGGAAACUCGAUGUAAAGAGAAGAAAUUAAGUCUGUGGAAAAUUUGCUCCCCUUUCCAAUGGCCUCAGGAUGAAAUGGAAUCUUCUCGCAUGUCCUCGAGAGAGGGAUGCUUUUCGUGCAAAAAUCUUCAAACCAACACGACCAACACACAUCACACCUAUGUGUGCGGAGGGAGGAAUGCAGAGGGAAAAACUCCAUGGCUACCAGCAUCCAGUUGGCGUUUAAUAAAGGUUAAGGGAAUAAGUGAAAACUACUCACCAUUGUCACUGCUGCUCCGAAAAGUAGUGAUGAUUAAUUGAGGCAAAUUUACAAUCCCUUUCAUAAUCGCAGCAGUAUGAAAGCCUUAUCUUCUCUUGCAUCACCAUGGGAACCUUUGAUGUUUAUUCCUGGGGGCAAAACCGCCGACCGGCCCUCCUGUGUGUAUGUGCACAUGUGAAAUGCAGCCCGGGGUCUAAAAGGGCUCUAAUUGCAUUGUGUGUAUUCAGGGGUGGUCAUGAGUCAAGGCACUUCCUGGGAAUGAUAGAGGAAAUCUCAGAUAAUGCAGCCUUGCGUAAUAAAAGUUUUCCUCUGGCUCUGUUUAUAUGUGUAAAUGGGAGGGGCUGAGUGGAAGAGAAGAGUGACAAUAAAGACAGUUAAGAAAGACAAGAAGUAUGUACAUAGCAGAUGAUUCCCCCCCACCCCCCUUCAAAUCGGAUUAUCUGGUUGCCUGCCCUCUAACUGGGCUGCGACGUCAGAUCCUGGAAGGCCGCACCGAGAGCCAGAUAAAGUCCCUGGUGCAAGGGUGUGUGUGCGAGUGUGUGUGAGUGUGUGUGUGUCUGUGCCCAGUUAACUCCAGGAGCCCUGCCCCGCGGCUGUGAACAAUUACCCAGGAAGUAGCCCCUCUGACCAUUUGAAUAGAAAACCUUCCCGAGGAGAACCCAGCCUCAGGGCCCCUGUCGGGGCAGAAAGAAAGGCUUGACCACUCUCAGAAGGUGGCUUGGUUUAAUGACCUCCGCUGCCGUUAGUACAUUUCCACGUUUUAUACCCUCCCCGCCUUCAUUCCUUAGCUUAAGAGAGGAAAACCUAUUGAAAUGAUUCGGUGGGGUUUCUCCUUUGUUGAAAAUAAAUCUCAUCACUCCCUGAGGUCUGGGACGUCAGGGAAGUGGUGAGGGUGGGCUUUGGAGCCAGGUAGGCCUGGGUGCUCAUCCCGAUUCCCCUGACUGCUGGCGCUUGGUUUUUUUGUCCCUCUCUGUUACGUCAGCCUUUCCGGGGAGCAUUUCUUUAUCUGCAGAACAGGGGCGAUGACGCCCAGUGAUGCCCGCCUUGCUGGGUCGUACUGUUUACGUAGGAGAAACAGGUGGCACACAAUAGAAGCUUAAUAAAGGACCAGCAAUUAUUACUGACCUUGUGUGUGCAUAUCAAUGUAUGUAAUGUCCUUCAUCUUGACUGAAAGCAAGUACGUUCUUCUGGAUUAAAGAGGAAAAAGGUCAUAAAAUGCCAGAGACCUACUUCCUUGGAACAUCUGCAAAGCUUGAAAUAAGGAGAUAAGAUAGCAGGGUCGAAGCUCUGCCACUAAUUAGGUACGGAAGCUUAACGAGCUCUGUCACCGCCCUGGCUUUCCGUUGUAAACAGAGCUGUGUUCUAGAUCAUGCUAAACAGCUAGAGCAAGUGGAAGCAACGUGUGACAGAGGCCUCUGGGCUGGCUGUGUGCCCACCUCUCUGCCCACGGGUUCCUGCAGACCUGCCCCUCACUCCUCUCUGGAGGCAACGGCCCUUCUUUUCAACUUUCCCUUGUCUCCAGGCCAUCGAAGGCAGGGCUCUUCCAGGUCCUCGGUCCUCGGGAGCAGACAGCCAAGCCUUGGGGCGGUGGCCGGCCUGGCUCCAGCAUGCCUCCCCCUGCAGUCGGCACGCCCCGUCCCUUGACCUGGAGCCCCGGGUCUCUACCUUCCAGGUCAGGAGUCCACACCUCCCAGAAAUGGCCGCACCCUCCCCCGGUUGAGGCCCUGGGAAUCAGCAUUCCUCUGCUGACACUGUGGUUUGGCCCCCGACUCACUCCCCUCCUGGAUCCUCGAGUCCUCCACCCGUAACAGGAGACAGCAGACCCCAGGUUCCUUCCAAAACAUUUCGAAUCAGAGCCAGUAAGGACGCCCAGCCCGGCAGCCGAGAGGCAGGAAGCUGGUGACUCCGGGUAGCAGGCCUUGGUGGCAGAGGAACCGUCUCCUCCAUCCGUAGGGACCCAGAAGUCAGAUCCCACAAGGAACAAAAGGGAGCCCGGGCAGCGUGAGCCAGGGAGGAAAAGCAGUCAGCGUAGAUGGCAGGACUGAAGGUGACCGGCAGGCUGGGUCCCAGUGAUAAUUAGAGGCGGCCCAGCGGGCUGCAGCUGAGGCCCCGUC